This 473-nucleotide ribosomal RNA is filed under the name Eikenella sp. oral taxon 011. RNAcentral's name for it is "bacterial SSU rRNA". It matches the Rfam family "Bacterial small subunit ribosomal RNA", at positions 30 to 489 of the family's 1533-position model. Lineage: Bacteria; Pseudomonadati; Pseudomonadota; Betaproteobacteria; Neisseriales; Neisseriaceae. The record is from RNAcentral.
AUUGAACGCUGGCGGCAUGCUUUACACAUGCAAGUCGAACGGCAGCGGGGGAGUGCUUGCACUUCUGUCCGGCGAGUGGCGAACGGGUGAGUAAUAUAUCGGAACGUACCGAGUAGUGGGGGAUAACCAAUCGAAAGAUUGGCUAAUACCGCAUACGUCUUGAGAGAGAAAGCAGGGGACCAUUUGGCCUUGCGCUAUUCGAGCGGCCGAUAACUGAUUAGCUAGUUGGUGGGGUAAAGGCCUACCAAGGCGACGAUCAGUAGCGGGUCUGAGAGGACGAUCCGCCACACUGGGACUGAGACACGGCCCAGACUCCUACGGGAGGCAGCAGUGGGGAAUUUUGGACAAUGGGGGCAACCCUGAUCCAGCCAUGCCGCGUGUCUGAAGAAGGCCUUCGGGUUGUAAAGGACUUUUGUUCGGGAAGAAAAGCGCAGUGUUAAUACCAUUGCGUAAUGACGGUACCGAAAGAAUAA